Molecule: ribosomal RNA, 252 nt
Filed under: uncultured bacterium
Lineage: Bacteria
Description: partial 16S ribosomal RNA
Rfam family: Bacterial small subunit ribosomal RNA
Source: RNAcentral
UACGUAGGUGGCAAGCGUUGUCCGGAUUUAUUGGGCGUAAAGCGAGCGCAGGUGGUUUAUUAAGUCUAGUGUAAAAGGCAGUGGCUCAACCAUUGUAUGCAUUGGAAACUGGUAGACUUGAGUGCAGGAGAGAAGAGUGGAAUUCCAUGUGUAGCGGUGAAAUGCGUAGAUAUAUGGAGGAACACCGGUGGCGAAAGCGGCUCUCUGGCCUGUAACUGACACUGAGGCUCGAAAGCGUGGGUAGCAAACAGG